UGAAUACGAGAUGCUACGGCGUCGAAGCAGUGUAUGUCAAACUUCCAAGAAAAGCUCGCAAUGUCAUAAAUAAAGAAUGCCUGUACCAUAACCGACACAGGUGGGUAGGUAGAGUAUACUAAGGGGCGCGAGAUAACUCUCUCUAAGGAACUCGGCAAAAUAACUCCGUAACUUCGGGAGAAGGAGUGCCUUCUUUAAGAAGGUUGCAAUAACAAGAUCCAAGCAACUGUUUAUCAAAAACACAGGUCUCCGCUAAGUCGUAAGACGAUGUAUGGGGGCUGACGCCUGCCCAGUGCCAGAAGGUUAAAGAAGUUGGUUAGCCUUUGCGAAGCUGAUGACUGAAGCCCUGGUGAACGGCGGCCGUAACUAUAACGGUCCUAAGGUAGCGAAAUUCCUUGUCGGGUAAGUUCCGACCCGCACGAAAGGCGUAAUGAUUUGGAUACUGUCUCGGAGAGGGACUCGGUGAAAUAGACUUGUCUGUGAAGAUGCGGACUACCUGCACCAGGACAGAAAGACCCUAUGAAGCUUUACUGUAACUUGAAAUUGAAAUUGGACUUUAUUUGCGCAGUAUAGGUGGAAGGCGUUGAAAGUAAUCUUGCGGGAUUAGUGGAGCCAUCAGUGAGAUACCACUCCUAUAAUGUUAGAUUUCUAACUUUGGAUCAUGAUCUGGUCAAAGAACAGUUUCAGGCGGGCAGUUUGACUGGGGCGGUCGCCUCCCAAAUGGUAACGGAGGCGUACAAAGGUUUCCUCUGAACGGGUAGAAAUCGUAUCUAGAGUGUAAAGGCAUAAGGAAGCUUGACUGUGAGACCUACAAGUCGAGCAGGGACGAAAGUCGGUCUUAGUGAUCUGACGGUGCUGAGUGGAAAGGCCGUCACUCAACGGAUAAAAGUUACUCUAAGGAUAACAGGCUGAUCUCCCCCAAGAGUUCACAUCGACGGGGAGGUUUGGCACCUCGAUGUCGGCUCAUCGCAUCCUGGGGCGGUAGUACGUCCCAAGGGUUGGGCUGUUCGCCCAUGAAAGCGGUACGCGAGCUGGGUUCAGAACGUCGUGAGACAGUUCGGUCCAUAUCCGGUGUAGGCGUUAGAAUAUUGAGAGGAGCCUUCUUUAGUACGAGAGGACCGAGAAGGACAUACCUCUGGUGUACCAGUUAUCGUGCCAACGGUAAACGCUGGGUAGCUAUGUAUGGAGAGGAUAACCGCUGAAAGCAUCUAAGUGGGAAGCCCACCUCAAGAUGAGUAUUCUC
RNAcentral lists this ribosomal RNA (1243 nucleotides) under metagenome. Its description in RNAcentral is "bacterial LSU rRNA". It matches the Rfam family "Bacterial large subunit ribosomal RNA", at positions 1564 to 2815 of the family's 2925-position model. The record is from RNAcentral.